This is a long non-coding RNA of Dromaius novaehollandiae (emu), 2092 nucleotides long. RefSeq lists it as uncharacterized. The record is from RefSeq and is a predicted model, not a curated record. The transcript is spliced from 3 exons. Lineage: Eukaryota; Metazoa; Chordata; Aves; Casuariiformes; Dromaiidae.
GAUGAAAAACUUCCUCUAAUGGAAUCCAGCUUGAAAGCAGCUCAAGAGCAGCUAAGUGAGCAAAUAGCAGAAACAGUUCGCCAAGAACAGAACAGUAGAAAAUCACAGACACAGCUGAAGACCCUGAGAGAACGUAUUAUAGCUUCUGAAGAAGAAAUUAGUGAUUACAAGUUGAGUUUUAUGAGAAAAGAUUACCAAAUCUGCAAAAGGUGCGGAGCCAGUCUAAAGACAGUAUACAUAGAACACCAAGAAUCUUGAAUCUUCAGAAAGGAAUACUCAGGAUUUAAAAGAGGACAAUAGUUUACUGGAUAGUAAUCACAAAGGACAUGUUGACAAGAGCCUCUGUAUGUGGUGAAAGCUAUCCAAGGCAGAGAGACCGAGAGAGGCGGUGUUACAACAAGAUUACUUCAGAACACCUGUUUGUUCAGUCUGAAGAUCUUGAUGCGGCUUACAAACAUAGCCCAGAUGUGAACGUGUGCUGUAUGACUGUCUAUCCCUACACCAGCAAGUUUACUUAAACAAGUAGUUUCCAUCUCCUUCUCGACUUGGUAUCUUUUUCUCUAGCAAACUUGUAUGAUGGUUUGAAAACCCAGCCAAUGCCUUGUCUGCUCUGUGUCAGGGACAAAAUGCAGUUCUCUUGUUACUGGAGACUGAGAAGGCAGAUGUAAGAUAUAAAUCCACCUCCUGAAGCUCUGAAUGUUUUCAUUUAGACUGGAUGAAAAAAGCAAUGGAAAUAGCUUCCAUUCACAAGAAUAUCUUUGGUCUUCAGCAGGCCAUUUCUUCAUCAUCUUCAUUCUUCCAUUGCAGAUAGGAGAAGUCUUGUGAUCUUCCUUAUCCUCGCUCUCUGGGAACACUAGAGCAAGGCAAGAGUAGUUGUCUGAUCUCUAACAAACUGUUUCCUCUACAAGCCAAGAGAUUACUUUAACUUUUCUCUUUCUGAUUCACUUCUUUUUGCACUAGUACCAAGAACAGCACAAAACUGAUUUUAACUACUGUAAAGAAAUAUUUGAAUCACAUUACUCAUAUAAAUUAUUUUUUUCCUCUUGAUUUAUGUAAUAUGUGUGUCUGAAGUGGAUGAUUUGUCUCAUUGAGAUCACUAGAAGGAAAAAAAAGCCCAAACAAAGUUAAAAUUAAGCAUUAAUAAUUCAUACAUUUUUAGAGAUUUGUUUCGGUUAAAUAAAAUAGAAAUGUAACCACAUAAAAAUCCAUACGGUUUUAAGCUGAUUAGAUCAAUAAAGUAUGAUCUCAUGAAGGAUUUUAUUCUUCUCCUUUUCCAUGCUAUCUGACUUUGGAAAAGCCAUUUCUUUACCUGUUUUGUCUUGAAUACUGCAAACCUGUUAACUAGAUUUAUUGUAAAAUAAUUCAAAAUGUUAUAUUAGUUCAAACUUACUUUAUUAAGAUAUAACAUUAAAGGUAAUUGGAGAAAUGAUAAAAAAUAAAAAAUGAACCUAAACAUUCUCUCCCUGCGGCUUAAGCUGGAUGGGAUAUUGGAAUCAACCUUCAUAGUACAAAGUUUCCUUUUUUUUAAAAAAAAAACAAUAUAUGCUGAUUUAAUUAGAAAAUGUUUCUAGAACUUACAAAUGAAGAGAUGACUGUGGAAAAACUUAUGCCAUUAUGUCCUCCGAAGUCUAUAAAGACCUUGAAAUAAUAGUUCUGAGAAAUAUGAGCUACUUUAUCCCUUUCGGGGCCUGAUACCCCAAUACUUAAAGACCACAGUAUGUGUAUGCAAACACUAUUAACUUUCUGAGUUGUAACAUGUAACAUAAGAUUACGUCAAGAAGGUUUUGAUGGGGGAUGGAAGAAAAGGCAAGACAAGGGCAAUGAAUACAUCUGAAAACUAAAAAAGAACAGAAAAGAGAACCCCAGAAAGCACACGUGCUCAUACUCUGAACUUCACCACCUAUUGCCAGGGGCAUUUUAUUUUGUUGUCCCACUAGGAAGACUUUCUUCUGUAGGCAGAACUUGGGAGAACUUCAAUGUAAAGCUAACAAGGCACAUCUAACUAUGUCAUCUUGAUAAGACUCUUGUAUCGGUGCUUCUUAAAAAUCUAUACAUAGACUGGAAUUAAAGAUUAAAGUCUGUAUUCAUUACA